ACGCUGGCGGCAGGCUUAACACAUGCAAGUCGAACGGUAACAGGGAUUAGCUUGCUAAUUUGCUGACGAGUGGCGGACGGGUGAGUAAUGCUUGGGAAUCUGGCUUAUGGAGGGGGAUAACUACGGGAAACUGUAGCUAAUACCGCGUAAUAUCGGAAGAUUAAAGGGUGGGACUUUCGAGCCACCUGCCAUAAGAUGAGCCCAAGUGGGAUUAGGUAGUUGGUUAGGUAAAGGCUGACCAAGCCGACGAUCUCUAGCUGGUCUGAGAGGAUGACCAGCCACACUGGAACUGAGACACGGUCCAGACUCCUACGGGAGGCAGCAGUGGGGAAUAUUGCACAAUGGGGGGAACCCUGAUGCAGCCAUGCCGCGUGAAUGAAGAAGGCCUUCGGGUUGUAAAGUUCUUUCGGUGACGAGGAAGGUUGAUAGGUUAAUAGCCUAUCAAAUUGACGUUAAUCACAGAAGAAGCACCGGCUAACUCCGUGCCAGCAGCCGCGGUAAUACGGGGGGUGCGAGCGUUAAUCGGAAUAACUGGGCGUAAAGGGCACGCAGGCGGUGACUUAAGUGAGAUGUGAAAGCCCCGAGCUUAACUUGGGAAUUGCAUUUCAUACUGGGUCGCUAGGGUACUUUAGGGAGGGGUAGAAUUCCACGUGUAGCGGUGAAAUGCGUAGAGAUGUGGAGGAAUACCGAAGGCGAAGGCAGUCCCUUGGGAAUGUACUGACGCUCAUGUGCGAAAGCGUGGGGAGCAAACAGGAUUAGAUACCCUGGUAGUCCACGCUGUAAACGAUGUCGAUUUGGGGAUUGGGCUUUGAGCUUGGUGCCCGUAGCUAACGUGAUAAAUCGACCGCCUGGGGAGUACGGCCGCAAGGUUAAAACUCAAAUGAAUUGACGGGGGCCCGCACAAGCGGUG
Molecule: ribosomal RNA, 910 nt
Filed under: uncultured bacterium
Lineage: Bacteria
Description: bacterial SSU rRNA
Rfam family: Bacterial small subunit ribosomal RNA
Source: RNAcentral